CAACCCUCAAGCUCUGCUUGGUAUUGGGCGCCCGUCCUCCGCGGACGCGCCUCGAAGACCUCGGCGGCGGCUGUUCGGCCCUCAAGCGUAGUAGAAAACACCUCGCUUUGGAGCGGUCGGCGUCGCCCGCCGGACGAACCUUCUGAACUUUUCUCAA
This 157-nucleotide unclassified non-coding RNA is filed under the name uncultured Botryosphaeriaceae. RNAcentral describes it as "sequence contains ITS2". The record is from RNAcentral. Lineage: Eukaryota; Fungi; Ascomycota; Dothideomycetes; Botryosphaeriales; Botryosphaeriaceae.